This 253-nucleotide ribosomal RNA is filed under the name uncultured bacterium. RNAcentral's name for it is "partial 16S ribosomal RNA". It matches the Rfam family "Bacterial small subunit ribosomal RNA", at positions 524 to 776 of the family's 1533-position model. The record is from RNAcentral.
UACGGAGGGUGCGAGCGUUACCCGGAUUUACUGGGUGUAAAGGGCGUGUAGGCGGUCUCUCAAGUCCGAUGCUAAAGACCGAAGCUCAACUCCGGGGGUGCGUUGGAUACUGUGAGGCUAGACGGUCGGAGAGGGUAGCGGAAUUUCCGGAGUAGCGGUGAAAUGCGCAGAUACCGGAAGGAACGCCAAUAGCGAAGGCAGCUACCUGGACGAUUGGUGACGCUGAGGGGCGAAAGCGUGGGGAGCAAAUCGG